Bubalus bubalis (water buffalo) is the source of this 2266-nucleotide long non-coding RNA. RefSeq lists it as uncharacterized. The record is from RefSeq and is a predicted model, not a curated record. The transcript has 6 exons. Lineage: Eukaryota; Metazoa; Chordata; Mammalia; Artiodactyla; Bovidae.
AGUGAAGGUUUUGGCUGGAAGCGUUGCACGUAGAGCUGGUGGCGCUGAGGUGGCGGGGGCGGCGGCGCUACCUGCUCCGGGGCGCUCAUCCUCAAGGCUCCCCUCCCAGCCUCUCCUGAGCCCUCCGGGGCCUGCGCCGGACGGCGCCUGCCCUGUGAGCGGUUGUCAUCCACCCGGAGCUCCCAGAACACUCGCGGGUCCCCGCCGAGUUAAGCUUCAGCGUUAGAAGGGUGUGUGAGCCUUUUACAAACUGGGAAACUGAAGUCCUGGGAUUAAGCGCCUUGCCCAGGAUCAUCUGUCAGAUGGAAUUCUACUCAGGGAGCUGGACUUGAGAGUCUGAGCACUUCAUUCCCAGUCACACAGCCUCCUCAGGGGGAAUGCAGUCGGAGAAAUGUCUGAAGAGGAGAUCCAAAAGAAGACACUAGCUUCAGCUGUAGCCUGUUUAGAAGGGAAGUCACCAGGGGAGAAAGCAGCAAUCAUACAUCAGCAUCUUGGUCGUCGAGAAAUGACAGAUGUGAUCAUUGAGACCAUGAAGGCCAACCCAGUUUCUGAAAGAUGAGCUGAAAGCUGCAAUGAAAGAAAGUCUUCAGAAGCAUCCCCCAUUGCACCGAGAAGUAAAGGUCAAAGUAAAGAAGGUGUAAACGCUGCUCCCGAUUCUCCAUCCAGGCAGCUUCCAGACCAGAUUUCCUUCUUCAGUGGAAACCUCUCAGUUGAAACCGUUCACAGUAUUAUGCAUCUAUUCAAGACAAGAACCUUUGGAUUUAUUUAAUAUGUGGCCACAUAGGAUGUGGACGAUAUGUGAGUCAACAUGCCUAUAAGCACUUAGAGGAGACUGGCACACGUAUGCCAUGCAGCCCACCAACCAUCGAGUCUGGGACUACGCUGGAGGCGAACACCACUCUCAUUUUCUAAUUUGGAUUCAUUAUGUCUGAAAACAUCUCCCUCAGAACUUUCUCUCAGCCUUCUCACAGCUUGGAAUCUUCCUGACAGCUGUUGCAAACUCCAGUUCUCAUGCAUUACACAGGAUAAAGAGAGUUAAUGCUACACUCCUGCCCGCUCAUUUUUUUUUAAUCCAAAUGAUUUAAACCACUUUUUAAAGAAAUAUUGCAUGGCAUUUAAUUUGGAUCUGUAAAAACAAAAAUUUUGUUCAAGUUAAAGGCGUAAUUAUGGAGACUUCAUUCUGAAGAAACAUACCUUGGUUGACCCAUUCUUUUCUUUAGAUAAUUAUUUCUGUCGACUGGUUUCAAGUAAAACAGAUAGAAAAAUAGUACAGUAUGAACGUGAGGGUGACACUUGGCAGGAGGAGAAAAUAGAUGCCUUACAGUUAGAGGUUUCCCUGAGCCUCAUUGCUCUCAGUGUCACCUCAGUGGUCUCAAGCUCAGCACUAGGGCCGUCCUCUGCAGCUGCGAUAAGACUGGGGAUACGAGUCUUCAAGUUCAAGCUCAGCACUAGGGCCGUCCUCUGUAGCUGUGAUAAGACUGGGGAUACGAGUCUUCAAGUUAAAGCUCAGCACUAGGGCCGUCCUCUGCAGCUGUGAUAAGACUGGGGAUACGAGUCUUCAAGUUCAAGCUCAGCACUAGGGCCGUCCUCUGUAGCUGUGAUAAGACUGGGGAUACGAGUCUUCAAGUUCAAGCUCAGCACUAGGGCCGUCCUCUGCAGCUGCGGUAAGACUGGGGAUACGAGUCUUCAAGUUCAAGCUCAGCACUAGGGCCGUCCUCUGCAGCUGCGAUAAGACUGGGGAUACGAGUCUUCAAGUUCAAGCUCAGCACUAGGGCCGUCCUCUGCAGCUGCGGUAAGACUGGGGAUACGAGUCUUCAAGUUCAAGCUCAGCACUAGGGCCGUCCUCUGCAGCUGCGAUAAGACUGGGGAUACGAGUCUUCAAGUUCAAGCUCAGCACUAGGGCCGUCCUCUGCAGCUGCGGUAAGACUGGGGAUACGAGUCUUCCUGUUGGCACCACAGUGGCAGUUGGAAAUUGAGCAGCCUUGGUCAGGAUGGGGAAUCUCCGAAGCACCUUUCCAUGCCGAGAAGCUUUUUCACAUAUAUUGGGCUGGAGUUUAUGAACUGGACCCUUAUACAGAUGAAGUCAUUUGGGGGUAUUCAUAUAAUUAAACAACAAAAUUAGCACAGUCUGAUUUUUCUCACUGAAGUAAUUCCCAUCUACUAUAAAAUUGAUGUGUAAAUUUUAUGUUAAGGGAGGAAUAGUUUAACAUGAGGCCUAUUUUAUAUAAAUUUCAGAGUGAUGAUUUUAAUAAAUACCUUAACCAUA